AACUACAACUAUUAUCCAACUUUGUCUUCUAUCUUCUGCCUAAGAUUGUAAUGCAAGUCUACUUUUUGUCUACAACAACAGCUAUCAAUGUAAUACGCAAUGAAAUGUGUAAUGCAAUAAGCAGCUAUCAAUGUAAUGCGCAAUGUAAAACAAAUUGUUUUGGAAGAAAGAACAAACAACAGCAACCGAAAGAUUGCAAGAAGAAGUUGGUUUGGUAGUGAUGCACAAUUUACAUCUAUCAAGGUAAUGCACAAUUAAUGUAAGGCCUCGAAAGCUAGUUGCAUACCUGUAUAGUUGGUACACAGCCCUUGGAACCUUGUUCUUCGCAACAAGGUUUUCUGCAAAUGAAUCAUAAUUCUCCGGAUGGGGAAUUAUGUCCUCUCUCAAUGUCAACUGUUUCAUAGAGUAAAUUAAAUCAAUACGUGAAGGUGUUAUAAUGAUAAUGAGAUCAUCUUGGUUAUUAGGAACCUACCAGUUCCCCUGUAAAGACAGGGCAUCCAUACUUGAAUAAAAGGUUCAGACAUGACAUUUUGCAAUAAAUUUUAAUGGGCAGCAUUUCUUGAUUGAUGAUAUGCUCAAUAGUUUUUAACUUCUUUGAAAAAAUAAACAUUACAAUAUUUCAUUCAGUUUUUUUGGAGUUCUGAAGCUUUAAUUAACAGACCAAAAGUGCCUUAUGUCUGAAGUGUGGUUGUUGCUCUCAAAUUGCUACUAGCCUCCUACUGCCCUUCAUCCAAUUGCUACUAGCGUAAUGGAAUUCUCAUCUUCGUUAAAUUCAAGAAAAAAAUUCAGUUUAUUACCCUGAACUUUAGGUCUAAAAUCAGUUUGAUACCUCAUCUUUUUUUUUAAUCAAUUUCAUACCUAAACUUUCAAAAUGACAUCAAUCUCGACCAAAAUGACUAAAAUAGCCCUGAUUAAUCUUUUUACCCUCUCUCUCCCUGCCUCCAAAUCCACCACAUGGCCGGCGCCGGCAUCCACCCCUACCACCAGCAAUGGGCCCCGGCGGCAGCCCCUCCUCCUCCCCCGGCCGUCGCCGCUGCCAUUCUUAACUCUGAGUGGGUAAAAAGAUUAACCAGGGCUAUUUUAGUCAUUUUAGUCGAGAUUGAUGUCAUUUUGAAAGUUUAGGUAUGAAACUGAUUAAAAAAAAGAUGAGGUAUCAAAAUGAUUUUAGACCUAAAGUUCAGGAUAGUAAAAUGAAAUUAUCUCUAAAUUCAAUGCUUUGCUCAAUCAUGAAUAUAUAUACCAAAAGAACUACUCUUGGGAACAUGACUUCUAUCAUUUCUACUAUCUCUCUCCGGUUGAAAAAAUAUACAAUUACAUUGGGUGGCACAUCUGCAGCAGCUUUGGCAACCAUAUAUUUCCUCUGCUCCGGGUUGUCAAUACCACAUGAUUCAUAAUCUUCAAUAACUUUUUCUUCAACCUUGUCUCUUUUUUUUAGGUACUUGUCACGUUCUUCUCUAUUAUGUCUUUAUAUAGUUUCAUUCAAAUGUUGAAAGACAAACCUGUAGUAAUAGAUGAAUCUCUUACCGUUCUUGAGGUACUCCUCUCCAUAUUCAUUGUAGACAACUUUGAAGAAUUUGGCUGCUUCUAUCUUUCGUUUAACGACAUCAUCUAUAUUUGUUUCUAUGCUCAAGGUCGGAAUAUAUUAUUCAAGGUCUGCCCAUAUUCCUUGGUAGGUUUUUGCUCUCUGUGAAAACAUAGGAUAUGCAUGGCACAUGAUCUCCUAUAUUUCUUUGUCUGUUAAUAGUGAAGGAUGAUAGUAUAAUUGCCGAAGUUUGUUCCUGCAUGCAAGUGAGAAUGUGAAAGCCAAGAUAAUAUAUUGAACUAUUAUUGUUUGUUUACGCUUUUUUAUAUUAUGCUAAACACUUUAAAUGAAAGUGAUUAUGAUUAUUGAAAUAUGCAAUUGUUAUGGCAAUUAACGUUCCUAGCUGACUCAGUUAUGUUUUGUUUACUUACACAUCGUUAUCCACUCUUACUAGCAUCUGUAGGAAAUGUUUGAAUUCUCCAGGAUAAUCGUGUUCCUCUGGAUGCAGCUUCUCGACCAAGCGAUAUAGGGAUUCUGGGUACAGAGUUUGAUACUCUUCAUGGUUCAAUGUGUACCUUCCUCCGGCAUUUACAACUAUAUUGUCAACGGUUAGUUUGCCUAUUAAGUUUCCAUUUCUCAUCAUGUUGACGCAGUUCCGAAUGGUGUCCUUGCAUUUUUUUUAGGAGAUCAAAUAACACAAUUAACCAAAAUUGAUUUUUUCCAAGACAAAGUGCAUAAUAUGUAGAUAAAUUAUGAGACUUGUAAUAGGGUAGCAGAAUGAUAUGUUAAUUCUUUAUUAUCUUAUAUAUGUUAUACUUUCUUGUCCAAAGUGUGGUUUUUUGUUUUUUUGUUUUUGUUUUGAGUUUUGUUGAUUUGGUACAGAUUGUGGUGGUGAUGAUGAGAGAUGUGUGUGGGGUUGGACACAAGAAGGUCUCUUGAGGUUCUGCAUAACUCGUCUCUGAUUUUUGCAGAGGAGAGGAUUCCUAUGAAGGACCCUAUUGACGAGUUUCAUAAGUACAUUGGUGGUUAGAAAAUAUCAGCAAUGAUCAUUAUUGGGCUGUGAGUUCUUGUAAUCUUUAUAUUAGUUGCAACAAUCAUUUGUUUAGUGCUAAUUUCAAUUUCGAUUCACAGUAUUAAGUACUAGAUUGUGUAAUUGAAAAUCUUCCAGUUCUCAUCAACAGAGGCAUGCAUACAUUAUGAUUAUAAAUCAGUUAUGUAAGGUGACCGUGAUUGUAAUGCACGUAUCUUUUGUAUGAUAUUGAAAACUACAACUAUUAUCCAACUUUGUCUUCUAUCUACUGCCUAAGAGUGUAAUGCAAGUCUACUUUUUGUCUACAACAACAACUAUCAAUGUGUUCUAUAACAGCAGCUAUCAAUGUCAUACGCAAUGGAAUGUGUAAUGAAAUAAACAGCUAUCAAUGUAAUGCGCAAUGUAAAGCAAAUUGUUUUGGAAGAAAGAACAAACAGCAGCAACCGAAAGAUUGCAAGAAGAAGUUGGUUUGGUAGUGAUGCACAAUUUACAUCUAUCAAUGUAAUGCACAAUUAAUGUAAAGCCUCGAAAGCUAGUUGCAUACAUGUAUAGUCGCUGCACAGCCCUUAGAACCUUGUUCUUUGCAACAAGGUUUUUUGCAAAUGAAUCAUAAUUCUCCGGAUGUCAUCUCUCAAUGUCAACUUUUUCAUAGAGUAAAAUUAAUCAAUACGUGAAGGUGCUAUAAUGAUAACGAGAAACCCUAAACCCUAAUUUAGCUUUGAAUUACCUCUAUUUCGUCAUUGAAUUUCUCCCUAGCCUUGUCCUUUAGUUUGACAUACACGUCUGUUCAUAUAAAUCCCCUAGUUGGGCUUCCAAAGGCUUGUAGUCUGUCAUGAUGUUGGUUUUAAGGGGAGAGAGGCAGUGAUGGGGAGAGGCACGGUAGAGAUGAAGAAGCGAUGGGGAGAGAGAGGGAGUUUAUUUUUUGAUAAGAUGGUUAUGAUCCAUUUUUAGGUGUUGUGGAGUGGCAGAGUGAGAAUCACGUACAGGUUGUGACUUAGGAGAGUGUUCUACAAUGUUGAACAAUUGUGUUUGGAUGAAGAAAUUC
Molecule: long non-coding RNA, 3597 nt
Filed under: Fragaria vesca (wild strawberry)
Lineage: Eukaryota; Viridiplantae; Streptophyta; Magnoliopsida; Rosales; Rosaceae
Description: long non-coding RNA (FVES_LNC003906)
Source: RNAcentral